RNAcentral lists this ribosomal RNA (276 nucleotides) under uncultured bacterium. Its description in RNAcentral is "partial 16S ribosomal RNA". It matches the Rfam family "Bacterial small subunit ribosomal RNA", at positions 1105 to 1382 of the family's 1533-position model. The record is from RNAcentral.
CCGUCCCAUGUUGCCAGCAUUAAGUUGGGGACUCAUGGGAGACUGCCGGUGACAAACCGGAGGAAGGUGGGGAUGACGUCAAGUCAGCAUGGCCCUUACGUCCUGGGCUACACCCACGCUACAAUGGCCGGUACAACGGGCGGCGAAACCGCGAGGUGGAGCGAAUCCCUUAAAGCCGGUCUCAGUUCGGAUUGUAGGCUGCAACUCGCCUACAUGAAGCCGGAGUUGCUAGUAACCGCCGGUCAGCAUACGGCGGUGAAUAUGUUCCCGGGCCUU